AUAUCAAUAAGCGGAGGAAAAGAAACCAACAGGGAUUGCCCCAGUAACGGCGAGUGAAGCGGCAACAGCUCAAAUUUGAAAUCUGGCCCCUCCGGGGUCCGAGUUGUAAUUUGCAGAGGAAGUUUCGGCGUUGGCCCCGGGUUAAGUCCCCUGGAACGGGGCGCCCUAGAGGGUGAGAGCCCCGUACUCACCCGGGUGCACUUCGCCGUGUGAAGCUCCUUCGACGAGUCGAGUUGUUUGGGAAUGCAGCUCUAAGCGGGAGGUAUAUUUCUUCUAAAGCUAAAUACCGGCCAGAGACCGAUAGCGCACAAGUAGAGUGAUCGAAAGAUGAAAAGCACUUUGGAAAGAGAGUUAAAAAGCACGUGAAAUUGUUGAAAGGGAAGCUCUUGCCGCCAGACUUGCCGCGGUCGCUCAGCCGCCCUCCGGGGCGGUGUACUCUUCCGUCGGCAGGCCAGCGUCGGUUCGGGCGGUCGGAUAAAGGCCUCGGGAAUGUAGCACCCCUCGGGGUGUGUUAUAGCCCGGGGUGCAAUGCGGCCAGCCCGGUCCGAGGCACGCGUUCGCGAGGACGCUGGCGUAAUGGCCGCAAGCGACCCGUCUUGAAACACGGACCAAGGAGUCUAACAUCUGUGCGAGUGUUUGGGUCUCACACCCAUGCGCGCAAUGAAAGUGAACGGAGGUGGGAACCCCCCCGGAGGGGCGCACCAUCGACCGAUCCUGAUGUCUUCGGAUGGAUUUGAGUAAGAGCAUAGCUGUUGGGACCCGAAAGAUGGUGAACUAUUCCCGGAUAGGGUGAAGCCAGAGGAAACUCUGGUGGAGGCUCGCAGCGGUUCUGACGUGCAAAUCGAUCGUCAAAUCUAGGAAUAGGGGCGAAAGACUAAUCGAACCAU
Molecule: ribosomal RNA, 887 nt
Filed under: Roccella fuciformis
Lineage: Eukaryota; Fungi; Ascomycota; Arthoniomycetes; Arthoniales; Roccellaceae
Also listed under: 1 other name
Description: LSU rRNA
Rfam family: Eukaryotic large subunit ribosomal RNA
Source: RNAcentral